Molecule: ribosomal RNA, 253 nt
Filed under: uncultured bacterium
Lineage: Bacteria
Description: partial 16S ribosomal RNA
Rfam family: Bacterial small subunit ribosomal RNA
Source: RNAcentral
UACGGAGGGUGCAAGCGUUGUUCGGAAUCACUGGGCGUAAAGCGCGUGUAGGCGGUCUGCUAAGUCUGAUGUGAAAGCCCGGGGCUCACCCUCGGAAGUGCAUUGGAAACUGACAGACUGGAGUCCCGGAGAGGAGGGUGGAAUUCCUGGUGUAGCGGUGAAAUGCGUAGAUAUCAGGAGGAACACCGGUGGCGAAGGCGGCCCUCUGGACGGUGACUGACGCUGAGACGCGAAAGCGUGGGGAGCAAACAGG